ACACUCUUGUUUCUCUUCAGAUCGUAUAAAUUGUUCGCCUUUUACUAAAGAUUCCCAUGGAGAAGAACAGUAAGAGUUUUACCUAAUUUUUUGAUACCCUACGUAUGCGGGGCU
This 114-nucleotide small nuclear RNA is filed under the name Amphilophus citrinellus (Midas cichlid). RNAcentral describes it as "U5 spliceosomal RNA (ENSACIG00000001423.1)". It matches the Rfam family "U5 spliceosomal RNA". Rfam says of the family: U5 RNA is a component of both types of known spliceosome. The precise function of this molecule is unknown, though it is known that the 5' loop is required for splice site selection and p220 binding, and that both the 3' stem-loop and the Sm site are important for Sm protein binding and cap methylation. The record is from RNAcentral. Lineage: Eukaryota; Metazoa; Chordata; Actinopteri; Cichliformes; Cichlidae.